AUUGAACGCUGGCGGCAGGCCUAACACAUGCAAGUCGAGCGGAUGAAGGGAGCUUGCUCCUGGAUUCAGCGGCGGACGGGUGAGUAAUGCCUAGGAAUCUGCCUGGUAGUGGGGGAUAACGUCCGGAAACGGGCGCUAAUACCGCAUACGUCCUGAGGGAGAAAGUGGGGGAUCUUCGGACCUCACGCUAUCAGAUGAGCCUAGGUCGGAUUAGCUAGUUGGUGGGGUAAAGGCCUACCAUGGCGACGAUCCGUAACUGGUCUGAGAGGAUGAUCAGUCACACUGGAACUGAGACACGGUCCAGACUCCUACGGGAGGCAGCAGUGGGGAAUAUUGGACAAUGGGCGAAAGCCUGAUCCAACCAUGCCGCGUGUGUGAAGAAGGUCUUCGGAUUGUAAAGCACUUUAAGUUGGGAGGAAGGGCAGUAAGUUAAUACCUUGCUGUUUUGACGUUACCAACAGAAUAAGCACCGGCUAACUUCGUG
Molecule: ribosomal RNA, 484 nt
Filed under: uncultured bacterium
Lineage: Bacteria
Description: partial 16S ribosomal RNA
Rfam family: Bacterial small subunit ribosomal RNA
Source: RNAcentral